AGUUAAAUAACUUAAGAAAAGUUUAUGUUUUGAAAACAUAAUAAAGGAGUUUAAAUCUCCUAUUAACUU
This 69-nucleotide transfer RNA is filed under the name Tryonicus mackerrasae. Its description in RNAcentral is "tRNA-Ser". It matches the Rfam family "tRNA". Rfam says of the family: Transfer RNA (tRNA) molecules are approximately 80 nucleotides in length. Their secondary structure includes four short double-helical elements and three loops (D, anti-codon, and T loops). Further hydrogen bonds mediate the characteristic L-shaped molecular structure. tRNAs have two regions of fundamental functional importance: the anti-codon, which is responsible for specific mRNA codon recognition, and the 3' end, to which the tRNAs corresponding amino acid is attached (by aminoacyl-tRNA synthetases). tRNAs cope with the degeneracy of the genetic code in two manners: having more than one tRNA (with a specific anti-codon) for a particular amino acid; and 'wobble' base-pairing, i.e. permitting non-standard base-pairing at the 3rd anti-codon position. Lineage: Eukaryota; Metazoa; Arthropoda; Insecta; Blattodea; Tryonicidae. The record is from RNAcentral.